Molecule: ribosomal RNA, 254 nt
Filed under: uncultured bacterium
Lineage: Bacteria
Description: partial 16S ribosomal RNA
Rfam family: Bacterial small subunit ribosomal RNA
Source: RNAcentral
CACGUAGGCACCAAGCGUUGUCCGGAUUUAUUGGGCGUAAAGAGCUCGUAGGCGGUUGAGUAAGUCGGGUGUGAAAACUCUGGGCUUAACCCAGAGCCGCCACUCGAUACUGCUGUGACUUGAGUUCGGUAGGGGAGCAGGGAAUUCCUAGUGUAGCGGUGAAAUGCGCAGAUAUUAGGAGGAACACCGGUGGCGAAGGCGCUGCUCUGGGCCGAUACUGACGCUGAGGAGCGAAAGCGUGGGUAGCAAACAGG